RNAcentral lists this ribosomal RNA (118 nucleotides) under Lepisosteus oculatus (spotted gar). The record is from RNAcentral. Lineage: Eukaryota; Metazoa; Chordata; Actinopteri; Semionotiformes; Lepisosteidae.
GCCAACAGCUAUAUCACCCUGAAACUCACAACUGGCAACCCAUUGAAGGUCAGCAGGUGUGAGCCUGGCCAGUACCUGGAUGGGAGACCUCCUGGGAAAGCUAAGGCUGCUGCUGGAA